RNAcentral lists this ribosomal RNA (1415 nucleotides) under Mycolicibacterium iranicum. Its description in RNAcentral is "bacterial SSU rRNA". It matches the Rfam family "Bacterial small subunit ribosomal RNA". Lineage: Bacteria; Bacillati; Actinomycetota; Actinomycetes; Mycobacteriales; Mycobacteriaceae. The record is from RNAcentral.
CGGCAGUGGCGGGUGCUUACCAUGCAGUCGAACGGACCCUUUGGGGUUAGUGGCGAACGGGUGAGUAACACGUGGGUGAUCUGCCCUGCACUUUGGGAUAAGCCUGGGAAACUGGGUCUAAUACCGGAUAGGACUACGCACUGCAUGGUGUGUGGUGGAAAGCUUUUGCGGUGUGGGAUGGGCCCGCGGCCUAUCAGCUUGUUGGUGGGGUGAUGGCCUACCAAGGCGACGACGGGUAGCCGGCCUGAGAGGGUGACCGGCCACACUGGGACUGAGAUACGGCCCAGACUCCUACGGGAGGCAGCAGUGGGGAAUAUUGCACAAUGGGCGCAAGCCUGAUGCAGCGACGCCGCGUGAGGGAUGACGGCCUUCGGGUUGUAAACCUCUUUCGCCAGGGACGAAGCGCAAGUGACGGUACCUGGAGAAGAAGGACCGGCCAACUACGUGCCAGCAGCCGCGGUAAUACGUAGGGUCCGAGCGUUGUCCGGAAUUACUGGGCGUAAAGAGCUCGUAGGUGGUUUGUCGCGUUGUUCGUGAAAACUCACAGCUUAACUGUGGGCGUGCGGGCGAUACGGGCAGACUGGAGUACUGCAGGGGAGACUGGAAUUCCUGGUGUAGCGGUGGAAUGCGCAGAUAUCAGGAGGAACACCGGUGGCGAAGGCGGGUCUCUGGGCAGUAACUGACGCUGAGGAGCGAAAGCGUGGGGAGCGAACAGGAUUAGAUACCCUGGUAGUCCACGCCGUAAACGGUGGGUACUAGGUGUGGGUUUCCUUCCUUGGGAUCCGUGCCGUAGCUAACGCAUUAAGUACCCCGCCUGGGGAGUACGGCCGCAAGGCUAAAACUCAAAGGAAUUGACGGGGGCCCGCACAAGCGGCGGAGCAUGUGGAUUAAUUCGAUGCAACGCGAAGAACCUUACCUGGGUUUGACAUGCACAGGACGCCGGCAGAGAUGUCGGUUCCCUUGUGGCCUGUGUGCAGGUGGUGCAUGGCUGUCGUCAGCUCGUGUCGUGAGAUGUUGGGUUAAGUCCCGCAACGAGCGCAACCCUUGUCUCAUGUUGCCAGCACGUUAUGGUGGGGACUCGUGAGAGACUGCCGGGGUCAACUCGGAGGAAGGUGGGGAUGACGUCAAGUCAUCAUGCCCCUUAUGUCCAGGGCUUCACACAUGCUACAAUGGCCGGUACAAAGGGCUGCGAUGCCGUGAGGUGGAGCGAAUCCUUUCAAAGCCGGUCUCAGUUCGGAUCGGGGUCUGCAACUCGACCCCGUGAAGUCGGAGUCGCUAGUAAUCGCAGAUCAGCAACGCUGCGGUGAAUACGUUCCCGGGCCUUGUACACACCGCCCGUCACGUCAUGAAAGUCGGUAACACCCGAAGCCGGUGGCCUAACCCUUGUGGAGGGAGCCGUCGAAGUGAUCGCAAUU